AAAACUUUCAACAACGGAUCUCUUGGUUCUCGCAUCGAUGAAGAACGCAGCGAAAUGCGAUACGUAUUGUGAAUUGCAGAUUUUCGUGAAUCAUCGAAUCUUUGAACGCACAUUGCGCCCUUUGGUAUUCCAAAGGGCAUGCCUGUUUGAGCGUCAU
RNAcentral lists this ribosomal RNA (157 nucleotides) under Lachancea kluyveri. RNAcentral describes it as "5.8S ribosomal RNA". It matches the Rfam family "5.8S ribosomal RNA". From Rfam's summary of the family: 5.8S ribosomal RNA (5.8S rRNA) is a component of the large subunit of the eukaryotic ribosome. It is transcribed by RNA polymerase I as part of the 45S precursor that also contains 18S and 28S rRNA. The record is from RNAcentral. Lineage: Eukaryota; Fungi; Ascomycota; Saccharomycetes; Saccharomycetales; Saccharomycetaceae.